This 274-nucleotide ribosomal RNA is filed under the name uncultured bacterium. RNAcentral's name for it is "partial 16S ribosomal RNA". It matches the Rfam family "Bacterial small subunit ribosomal RNA", at positions 523 to 796 of the family's 1533-position model. The record is from RNAcentral.
AUACGGGGAGUGCAAGCGUUGUCCGGAAUCAUUGGGCGUAAAGGGUUCGUAGGUGGAAUUAUAAGUCUGGUGAGAAAGCCCACAGCUCAACUGUGGAACUGCACUGGAUACUGUUUUUCUUGAGUUAUAGAGGGGUUUGUGGAAUUUCUGGUGUAGAGGUGAAAUUUGUAGAGAUCAGAAAGAACACCGGUGGCGAAGGCGACAAACUGGCUAUUAACUGACACUGAGGAACGAAAGCGUGGGGAGCGAACAGGAUUAGAAACCCUAGUAGUCC